UAAUACGGAGGGUGCGAGCGUUGUCCGGAAUCACUGGGCGUAAAGGGCGCGUAGGUGGCUUCUCAAGCGCGCGGUGAAAGCCCGGGGCUCAACCCCGGGUCGGCCGUGCGGACUGGGAGGCUCGAGCACUGUAGGGGCGGGUGGAAUUCCGGGUGUAGCGGUGGAAUGCGUAGAGAUCCGGAAGAAC
RNAcentral lists this ribosomal RNA (187 nucleotides) under uncultured bacterium. Its description in RNAcentral is "partial 16S ribosomal RNA". It matches the Rfam family "Bacterial small subunit ribosomal RNA", at positions 521 to 707 of the family's 1533-position model. The record is from RNAcentral.